This 1541-nucleotide long non-coding RNA is filed under the name Marmota monax (woodchuck). The record is from RNAcentral. Lineage: Eukaryota; Metazoa; Chordata; Mammalia; Rodentia; Sciuridae.
CUCCACGAUAUCGUGGAUAGACACCUAGUCAUUGUUUGAUUUUUGAUAAUGGAGUACCCUCUAUGGUGGUUUGAGAAUGGCAUUCAUUAGCCCAAUGUCUCCUUCUACGGCAUUGUGAGCAAAUACUCAGUAUUCUACUCCUUUGAUACCUAGUUUUGUUAAACCCUCCUCCUAUGGGGCAAUUCCUUUUAAAAUGUCCUGUUUGUUCACAAUUGUAGCAUGUUUUUGGCCUGGCAUCUAAAGCCUAUUGUACAGCAGCUGCCAAGACUUGCCCUUGUUCAUUAAUGUCUCUACAUAAUUUAAUAUAUGUGUUUAAAUCUUGAUGUUUCCAUGGUCUAAUGACUUCUCCACACCAACAAUUUGCUUGCUUAUAAGCCAGUUGUUUUAUUAAUGGCAUUGCUUGUUCUGUAUUCCCAAAAACUCUGGUAGCUGUUUGAAUAAGCCAAUCUAUAAAUUCAGUGUAAGGUUCAUUAGCUCCUUGUAUUACCUUAGAUAAUUGAACUUGUAAACCUCCAUGUCCUUGUAAAGUCUUCCAUGAUCUAACUGCAUCUACAGCAAUUUGUAAGUAUAUUGCAGGAUCAUAUGCAAUUUGUUGCUGCUGAUCCUCAUAAGGUCCCUUUCCUAACAACAUAUCUAGAUUUCUUUGAGGAUAACCAGCUGCUGCAUUUCGCCUAGCCAUCUCCUUGCAAAAUUCCUCAUUGGCAACCUUCCAUAACAGAUAUUGUCCUCCAUUUAGCACAGCAUUACACAUACUAGUCCAAUCUGCUGGCGUCAUGUCCAAGUUGGUAAUGGAUUUGACCAUGCUUACAGUGAAGGGUGCUUGAGGACCAUAGUAUGUUACAGCCUCUUAGAUGCUUCACUGUUUUGAAAUCUAAAGCAUGGUGAAUUUGCUUCCUUCCUGCCUGCUCAAAUACAGGGCAUGCUAAUAUUUGAGAUCCUGUCUCAGGAUCCCAUCUAUCAACUGUGGGGGUUGGGGGGUCUCCCAGCAUAUGGAGGUGGCGCUGUUGGCUGGACACUUACACCCCCUGGUGAUAGGAAGGUGUUAGUAGCAGUCUCCUAUUGUAACUUUUCCCCUGAUGGCAUUUUCUUCUCUAAACUUUCUUCCUCUGUCUGACUAGCUUGAGAGACCUUCUCUUUUACUUGAAUUUUUUUCUCUGUCUCACUAGCUCGAGAGACCUUCUGUUUUACUUGAAUCAAUAUGUCUUCUCCUUCCUCUACCAUUGUCUGAACUAAAGACUUUGGGCUAAGCAAACAAGAUACCAAUGCCCACAAUGGCAGAGUUCCUGGGCUUUUCUUUACUAUUCUUUUUAAAUCUUCACCAUCAUGGUUCCAUUGUGAUAUAUUUAACAACUCCCCUUUAAUAAGCCUUGGGCUACAUUUUUGUAUUGUAUCAGUGUAUGCCCUGACUGCUCUUGAUUUUACUGGGAUACCUCCUUCCUCUAACAAUUUACUUAACACUCUUUUGGUUUGUUUUUUUUACUAAUUUCUGAUCCCAUAUUUCUACUAUAACUAUAAUACAAGCCAACAAGAUAACACCAAAC